GCUGGCGGCGUGCCUAACACAUGCAAGUCGAACGAGAAAGUGGAGCAAUCCAUGAGUAAAGUGGCGACCGGGUGAGUAACACGUGACUAACCUACCUCCGAGUGGGGAAUAACUCCGGGAAACCGGGGCUAAUACCGCAUAACAUCGCAAGAUCAAAGCAGCAAUGCGCUUGGAGAGGGGGUCGCGGCUGAUUAGCUCGUUGGCGGGGUAACGGCCCACCAAGGCGAAGAUCGGUAUCCGGCCUGAGAGGGCGCACGGACACACUGGAACUGAAACACGGUCCAGACUCCUACGGGAGGCAGCAGUGGGGAAUUUUGCGCAAUGGGGGAAACCCUGACGCAGCAACGCCGCGUGGAGGAUGAAGCCCUUUGGGGCGUAAACUCCUUUCGACUCGGACGAUAAUGACGGUACGAGUGGAAGAAGCACCGGCUAACUCUGUGCCAGCAGCCGCGGUAAUACAGAGGGUGCGAGCGUUGUUCGGAAUUAUUGGGCGUAAAGGGCGCGUANGCGGUGCGGUAAGUCACCUGUGAAAUCUCCUGGCUUAACUGGGAGCCUGCAGGCGAAACUACCGUGCUGGAGUGUGGGAAAGGUGCGUGGAAUUCCCGGUGUA
RNAcentral lists this ribosomal RNA (610 nucleotides) under uncultured bacterium. RNAcentral describes it as "bacterial SSU rRNA". It matches the Rfam family "Bacterial small subunit ribosomal RNA", at positions 35 to 677 of the family's 1533-position model. The record is from RNAcentral.